Non-coding RNA from Pteropus alecto (black flying fox), 119 nucleotides. Lineage: Eukaryota; Metazoa; Chordata; Mammalia; Chiroptera; Pteropodidae. The record is from Rfam.
UUCUACAGCCAUGCCACCCUGCACAAGCCUGAUCCCAUCUGAUCUCAGAAGCUAAGCAGGGUCGGGCCUAGUUAGUACUUGGAUGGGAGGCCACCUAGGAAGACCAGGUUCUGUAGGCA